GAUGAACGCUGGCGGCGUGCCUAAUACAUGCAAGUAGAACGCUGAAGGAGGAGCUUGCUCUUCUGGAUGAGUUGCGAACGGGUGAGUCACGCGUAGGUAACCUGCCUGGUAGCGGGGGAUAACUAUUGGAAACGAUAGCUAAUACCGCAUGACAACAGUUAUUGCAUGAUAACUGUUUAAAAGGGGCAACUGCUCCACUACCAGAUGGACCUGCGUUGUAUUAGCUAGUUGGUGAGGUAACGGCUCACCAAGGCGACGAUACAUAGCCGACCUGAGAGGGUGAUCGGCCACACUGGGACUGAGACACGGCCCAGACUCCUACGGGAGGCAGCAGUAGGGAAUCUUCGGCAAUGGACGGAAGUCUGACCGAGCAACGCCGCGUGAGUGAAGAAGGUUUUCGGAUCGUAAAGCUCUGUUGUAAGAGAAGAACGAGUGUGAGAGUGGAAAGUUCACACUGUGACGGUAUCUUACCAGAAAGGGACGGCUAACUACGUG
This 495-nucleotide ribosomal RNA is filed under the name uncultured bacterium. RNAcentral describes it as "partial 16S ribosomal RNA". It matches the Rfam family "Bacterial small subunit ribosomal RNA", at positions 28 to 507 of the family's 1533-position model. The record is from RNAcentral.